GGGGGUGUGACUCAGUGUUAGAGUGUAUGCCUAGUAUUUGUGAGGCCCUGGGUUCAAUCCUCAGCUACUCCA
This 72-nucleotide transfer RNA is filed under the name Fukomys damarensis (Damara mole-rat). It matches the Rfam family "tRNA". Rfam says of the family: Transfer RNA (tRNA) molecules are approximately 80 nucleotides in length. The record is from Rfam by way of RNAcentral. Lineage: Eukaryota; Metazoa; Chordata; Mammalia; Rodentia; Bathyergidae.